RNAcentral lists this ribosomal RNA (440 nucleotides) under uncultured bacterium. Its description in RNAcentral is "partial 16S ribosomal RNA". It matches the Rfam family "Bacterial small subunit ribosomal RNA", at positions 338 to 795 of the family's 1533-position model. The record is from RNAcentral.
CCUACGGGGGGCUGCAGUGGGGGAUAUUGCACAAUGGGGGAAACCCUGAUGCAGCGACGCCGCGUGUGGGAAGACGGUCCUCUGGAUUGUAAACCACUGUCCCCAGGGACGAAGAUGACGGUACCUGGGGAGGAAGCUCCGGCUAACUACGUGCCAGCAGCCGCGGUAAUACGUAGGGAGCGAGCGUUGUCCAGAAUUACUGGGUGAAAAGGGAGCGUAGGCGGGGGUGCAAGUUGGGUGUCAAAACUACCGGCUCAACUGGUAGUCGCACUCAAAACUGCAGCUCUUGAGUGAAGUAGAGGCAGGCGGAAUUCGUAGUGUAGCGGUGAAAUGCGUAGAUAUUAGGAGGAACACCAGUGGCGAAGGCGACCUGCUGGGCUUUUACUGACGCUGAGGCUCGAAAGUGUGGGGAGCAAACAGGAUUAGAUACCCCAGUAGUC